RNAcentral lists this ribosomal RNA (446 nucleotides) under uncultured bacterium. Its description in RNAcentral is "partial 16S ribosomal RNA". It matches the Rfam family "Bacterial small subunit ribosomal RNA", at positions 338 to 795 of the family's 1533-position model. The record is from RNAcentral.
CCUACGGGAGGCAGCAGUCGAGAAUCAUUCACAAUGGGGGAAACCCUGAUGGGGCGACGCCGCGUGGGGGAAUGAAGGUCUGCGGAUUGUAAACCCCUGUCAUGUGGGAGCAAAUUAAAAAGAUAGUACCACAAGAGGAAGAGACGGCUAACUCUGUGCCAGCAGCCGCGGUAAUACAGAGGUCUCAAGCGUUGUUCGGAAUCACUGGGCGUAAGGCGUGCGUAGGCUGUUUCGUAAGUCGUGUGUGAAAGGCGCGGGCUCAACCCGCGGACGGCACAUGAUACUGCGAGACUAGAGUAAUGGAGGGGGAACCGGAAUUCUCGGUGUAGCAGUGAAAUGCGUAGAUAUCGAGAGGAACACUCGUGGCGAAGGCGGGUUCCUGGACAUUAACUGACGCUGAGGCACGAAGGCCAGGGGAGCGAAAGGGAUUAGAUACCCCUGUAGUC